This 209-nucleotide ribosomal RNA is filed under the name uncultured Leptotrichia sp. RNAcentral describes it as "partial 16S ribosomal RNA". It matches the Rfam family "Bacterial small subunit ribosomal RNA", at positions 149 to 356 of the family's 1533-position model. Lineage: Bacteria; Fusobacteriati; Fusobacteriota; Fusobacteriia; Fusobacteriales; Leptotrichiaceae. The record is from RNAcentral.
GAGGGAAACGUUACUGAUAAUAACUGGAUAAGUUAGUAUAUCGCAUGAUAUGCAAAUGAAAGCUACGGCACUAAAGGAGAGCUUUGCGUCCUAUUAGCUAGUUGGUAAGGUAAGAGCUUACCAAGGCGAUGAUAGGUAGCCGGCCUGAGAGGGUGGACGGCCACAAGGGGACUGAGAUACGGCCCUUACUCCUACGGGAGGCAGCAGUG